RNAcentral lists this long non-coding RNA (836 nucleotides) under Ananas comosus (pineapple). RNAcentral describes it as "long non-coding RNA (ACOM_LNC026219)". The record is from RNAcentral. Lineage: Eukaryota; Viridiplantae; Streptophyta; Magnoliopsida; Poales; Bromeliaceae.
UUUUUCAGUCCUAAAUAAUCACCUUAAAAAACGGUCGAAACUCUAGUUAUCCGAAACAGCGUAAUUGAUUUUGGCGCAUUCCGGAUUCUUAAUUACGGUAAAAAAAAGUAAAGAAAAAAUAAUAAAAUAAUACAAUGAGUGAUGCUAGUUAUAUUUAAAUAUAUUUAAUUACGGAACUUAUUGUUCUUUUAUUUAAUUUACAUAUUUAAAAUAUGAUAAGAUUUGAUUAGUUAAGUUUUAUUAUUUCCUUCAUUUAAUUUGUACAACUAAAACAUGAUGAAAAUUAAUUAUUAUAAUUUAUGUAUAAAAGAAUAAUUUGGUUUUUUAGAUUAGAAUUUUUAAUUAUAUAGGAAUAUAAUUAUAUUAGUUUUAUUUAUUAUAAUAUAAUUUAUUAUUUUUUAAAUUAUUUAUUAUUUAUGCAUAAAUUAUAGUUUUAUAUUAUUUAUUUUCUAUCCAAUAAAUAUCAGAACUGAAAAAAGUUUACUUCCACAGCUAUAAAACAAAUAGUAGGGAAGUGGUUUUUAUCUAACUCCACUUCAACCCAAAAUCUACUUAAAUUCAAAGUCCAGUUUCACCUAAAAUUUUAAAUUUUUUGUAUUUAGUUUGGGUGUCUGACUUGAAAUCAAACCGACCGAAUUAACCAAUUAAAUGAGCAAGAAUACUCUUUUAUGCUUGAAAAUCAAAUUAUAUUUUACAUUUUAAAAUAUUUUUAAAAAUAAAAUAAAAUUUUUGUAAAUUUUAUUUUACAAAAUCAAUCAAACUGACCAAAUGCUUUCCCCUAGAAAUGCCACAUUCACCUAAAAUUUUAAAUUUUUUGUAUUUAGUUUGGGUGUCUG